AGGUAUCAGAAGUGCGAAUGCUGACAUGAGUAACGAUAAUGGGUGUGAAAAACACCCACGCCGAAAGACCAAGGUUUCCUGCGCAACGUUAAUCGACGCAGGGUUAGUCGGUCCCUAAGGCGAGGCUGAAAAGCGUAGUCGAUGGAAAACAGGUUAAUAUUCCUGUACUUCUGGUUAUUGCGAUGGAGGGACGGAGAAGGCUAGGCCAGCUUGGCGUUGGUUGUCCAA
This 228-nucleotide ribosomal RNA is filed under the name Bacillus thuringiensis. Its description in RNAcentral is "partial 23S ribosomal RNA". It matches the Rfam family "Bacterial large subunit ribosomal RNA", at positions 1277 to 1509 of the family's 2925-position model. The record is from RNAcentral. Lineage: Bacteria; Bacillati; Bacillota; Bacilli; Caryophanales; Bacillaceae.